Molecule: ribosomal RNA, 459 nt
Filed under: uncultured bacterium
Lineage: Bacteria
Description: partial 16S ribosomal RNA
Rfam family: Bacterial small subunit ribosomal RNA
Source: RNAcentral
CCUACGGGUGGCUGCCGUGAGGAAUAUUGGUCAAUGGCCGAGAGGCUGAACCAGCCAAGUCGCGUGAGGGCAGAAUGUCCUAUGGAUUGUAAACCUCUUUUGUCAGGGAACAAAGUCACCCACGUGUGGGUGUUGGAGAGUACCUGAAGAACAAGCAUCGGCUAACUCCGUGCCAGCAGCCGCGGUAAUACGGAGGAUGCGAGCGUUAUUCGGAUUUAUUGGGUUUAAAGGGUGAGUAGGCGGGUUAUCAAGUCAGCGGUAAAAUCGUGGAGCUCAACUCCAUCCAGCAGUGGAAACUGAUGAUCUUGAGUUGGCGAGAAGGAUGCGGAAUGCGUGGUGUAGCGGUGAAAUGCAUAGAUAUCACGCAGAACUCCGAUUGCGAAGGCAGCAUACCGGCGCCCGACUGACGCUGAAGCACGAAAGCGUGGGUAUCGAACAGGAUUAGAUACCCUUGUAGUC